GACGAACGCUGGCGGCGUGCUUAACACAUGCAAGUCGAACGGAAAGGCCCUGCUUUUGUGGGGUGCUCGAGUGGCGAACGGGUGAGUAACACGUGAGUAACCUGCCCUUGACUUUGGGAUAACUUCAGGAAACUGGGGCUAAUACCGGAUAGGAGCUCCUGCUGCAUGGUGGGGGUUGGAAAGUUUCGGCGGGUGGGGAUGGACUCGCGGGUUAUCAGCUUGUUGGUGGGGUAGUGGCUUACCAAGGCUUUGACGGGUAGCCGGCCUGAGAGGGUGACCGGCCACAUGGGGACUGAGAUACGGCCCAGACGCGUACGGGAGGCAGCAGUGGGGAAUAUGGCACAAUGGGCGGAAGCCUGAUGCAGAAACGCUGCGUGUGGGAUGACGGCCUGCGGGUUGUGAACCGCUUUCGCCUGUGACGAAGCGGGAGUGACGGUAAUGGGUAAAGAAGCACCGGCUAACUACGUG
RNAcentral lists this ribosomal RNA (468 nucleotides) under uncultured bacterium. Its description in RNAcentral is "partial 16S ribosomal RNA". It matches the Rfam family "Bacterial small subunit ribosomal RNA", at positions 28 to 507 of the family's 1533-position model. The record is from RNAcentral.